Molecule: transfer RNA, 23 nt
Filed under: Hesperolinon micranthum
Lineage: Eukaryota; Viridiplantae; Streptophyta; Magnoliopsida; Malpighiales; Linaceae
Description: partial tRNA-Thr
Source: RNAcentral
UCUAACCUCUGAGCUAAGCGGGC